This 252-nucleotide long non-coding RNA is filed under the name Solanum tuberosum (potato). RNAcentral's name for it is "long non-coding RNA (STUB_LNC008536)". The record is from RNAcentral. Lineage: Eukaryota; Viridiplantae; Streptophyta; Magnoliopsida; Solanales; Solanaceae.
GGGCUUUCCUUGCUCUGUGAGGUGUUCAGAUUUAUCAGCUGCUAAAGGUGAAUCGAAAGGAGACAUCUCCAAUUCAAGGAAGUAGCAAUGGCAGUAGAUAGAGUUCCAUCGGCAAACACUGGCAGUACUGGUAAUGGCACUUCAAGUCAUACUUUGUUUCCAGUGAUUGAAAUCAUCCUCUGUUUCUUCAACAUACUGAAACUCCAAGUAGUUCUCUCAUCUCUCUACAAUUGACUGGAUCAGAGAAUUAUG